UCAAAAGUAAUUUAUGGGGACUAAGAAUGUAAUAUUGAGGAAGCCAAAGUUCAUUCAUUGGCAUAUUUACGAAACAUCAAUUUUAUUAUGCGAUUCAGCCAUGAUAGUAUUACAAUACUCAUUUUAUGGUAACGUAAUGUUGCUUUCAUACGGGGGGCUUUAAUUGGACAUCCUGUCGAAAAUCUUAGAGUUGUCUUGACAGAUGGUGCUGCUGAUGCCGUUGAUUCUAGUGAACUUGCAUUUAAGUUGGCUUCUAUCUAUGCUUUCAGACAGUGCUAUACAGCUUCCAGGCCAUUUAUAUUAGAACCUGUUAUGCUUGUUGAGCUGAAAGUACCAACAGAAUUCCAAGGAGCUGUUGCUGGUGACAUUAACAAGUGGGGUUCUUAUUUUAUUCUAUCCUUGUUUCUCUUUUCAAAUGGUUUAUUUAUGAUAUUGGUCUAUUUAUGAUAUUUUUAUCUAUGGUAUUGGUUUAUGACAUUGGUUUAUUUUAUUC
Arachis ipaensis is the source of this 493-nucleotide non-coding RNA. NCBI's taxonomy places the organism in Eukaryota, Viridiplantae, Streptophyta, Magnoliopsida, Fabales, Fabaceae. The record is from RefSeq and is a predicted model, not a curated record.